Molecule: ribosomal RNA, 253 nt
Filed under: uncultured bacterium
Lineage: Bacteria
Description: partial 16S ribosomal RNA
Rfam family: Bacterial small subunit ribosomal RNA
Source: RNAcentral
UACGUAGGGUGCGAGCGUUAAUCGGAAUUACUGGGCGUAAAGCGUGCGCAGGCGGUGAUGUAAGACCGAUGUGAAAUCCCCGGGCUUAACCUGGGAACUGCAUUGGUGACUGCAUUGCUCGAGUAUGGCAGAGGGGGGUGGAAUUCCACGUGUAGCAGUGAAAUGCGUAGAUAUGCGGAGGAACACCGAUGGCGAAGGCAAUCCCCUGGACCUGUACUGACGCUCAUGCACGAAAGCGUGGGGAGCAAACAGG